This 463-nucleotide ribosomal RNA is filed under the name uncultured bacterium. Its description in RNAcentral is "partial 16S ribosomal RNA". It matches the Rfam family "Bacterial small subunit ribosomal RNA", at positions 28 to 507 of the family's 1533-position model. The record is from RNAcentral.
GAUGAACGCUGACAGAAUGCUUAACACAUGCAAGUCUUUGGCGAAGCUGUGCUUGCACAGCCUAGCCCGGGCGGACGGGUGAGUAACGCGUAAGGAACUUGCCCUGCAGUCAGGGAUAACAGACGGAAACGACUGAUAAGACCUGGUAAAGUCAGGCGGACUCAUGUCCAGCCUGAUGAAAAGAGAUGCUGCAGGAGAGCCUUGCGUCCUAUUAGCUUGUUGGUGGGGUAACGGCCCACCAAGGCGAUGAUAGGUAGCCGGCCUGAGAGGGUGGACGGCCACAAGGGGACUGAGAUACGGCCCUUACGCCUACGGGAGGCAGCAGUGGGGAAUAUUGGACAAUGGGGGCAACCCUGAUCCAGCAAUUCUGUGUGCACGAUGAAGGUUUUCGGAUUGUAAAGUGCUUUCAGCAGGGAAGAAAAAAAUGACGGUACCUGCAGAAGAAGCGACGGCUAAAUACGUG